RNAcentral lists this ribosomal RNA (450 nucleotides) under uncultured Glomeromycotina. Its description in RNAcentral is "SSU rRNA". It matches the Rfam family "Eukaryotic small subunit ribosomal RNA", at positions 569 to 1020 of the family's 1831-position model. The record is from RNAcentral. Lineage: Eukaryota; Fungi; Glomeromycota.
AGCAGCCGCGGUAAUUCCAGCUCCAGUAGCGUAUAUUAAAGUUGUUGCAGUUAAAAAGCUCGUAGUUGAAUUUCGGGGUUCAUCCGUUGGUCGGGCUUUUUUGGUCUGUACUGGCGUGAUGGAUUCCUACCUUCUGAAUAACCAGCAUGUCAUUAAUUUGGUGCGCUGGGGAAGCAGGACUGUUACCUUGAAAAAAUUAGAGUGCUUAAAGCAGGCUAUCGCCUGAAUACAUUAGCAUGGAAUAAUGAAAUAGGACGGCAUGGUUCUAUUUUGUUGGUUUCUAGGAUCACCGUAAUGAUUAAUAGGGAUAGUUGGGGGCAUUAGUAUUCAAUUGUCAGAGGUGAAAUUCUUGGAUUUAUUGAAGACUAACUUCUGCGAAAGCAUUUGCCAAGGAUGUUUUCAUUAAUCAAGAACGAAAGUUAGGGGAUCGAAGACGAUCAGAUACCGUCG